GCGUGCGUAGGCGGCCAAUUAAGUCAAAUGUGAAAUCCCCGAGCUUAACUUGGGAAUUGCAUUCGAUACUGGUUGGCUAGAGUAUGGGAGAGGAUGGUAGAAUUCCAGGUGUAGCGGUGAAAUGCGUAGAGAUCUGGAGGAAUACCGAUGGCGAAGGCAGCCAUCUGGCCUAAUACUGACGCUGAGGUACGAAAGCAUGGGGAGCAAACAGGAUUAGAUACCCUGGUAGUCCAUGCCGUAAACGAUGUCUACUAGCCGUUGGGGCCCUUGAGGCUUUAGUGGCGCAGCUAACGCGAUAAGUAGACCGCCUGGGGAGUACGGUCGCAAGACUAAAACUCAAAUGAAUUGACGGGGGCCCGCACAAGCGGUGGAGCAUGUGGUUUAAUUCGAUGCAACGCGAAGAACCUUACCUGGCCUUGACAUACAGAGAACUUUCCAGAGAUGGAUUGGUGCCUUCGGGAACUCUGAUACAGGUGCUGCAUGGCUGUCGUCAGCUCGUGUCGUGAGAUGUUGGGUUAAGUCCCGCAACGAGCGCAACCCUUUUCCUUAUUUGCCAGCACUUCGGGUGGGAACUUUAAGGAUACUGCCAGUGACAAACUGG
RNAcentral lists this ribosomal RNA (601 nucleotides) under uncultured Acinetobacter sp. RNAcentral describes it as "bacterial SSU rRNA". It matches the Rfam family "Bacterial small subunit ribosomal RNA", at positions 565 to 1166 of the family's 1533-position model. The record is from RNAcentral. Lineage: Bacteria; Pseudomonadati; Pseudomonadota; Gammaproteobacteria; Moraxellales; Moraxellaceae.